RNAcentral lists this ribosomal RNA (220 nucleotides) under Vibrio parahaemolyticus. Its description in RNAcentral is "partial 16S ribosomal RNA". It matches the Rfam family "Bacterial small subunit ribosomal RNA", at positions 220 to 439 of the family's 1533-position model. Lineage: Bacteria; Pseudomonadati; Pseudomonadota; Gammaproteobacteria; Vibrionales; Vibrionaceae. The record is from RNAcentral.
UCAGGAUAUGCCUAGGUGGGAUUAGCUAGUUGGUGAGGUAAGGGCUCACCAAGGCGACGAUCCCUAGCUGGUCUGAGAGGAUGAUCAGCCACACUGGAACUGAGACACGGUCCAGACUCCUACGGGAGGCAGCAGUGGGGAAUAUUGCACAAUGGGCGCAAGCCUGAUGCAGCCAUGCCGCGUGUGUGAAGAAGGCCUUCGGGUUGUAAAGCACUUUCAG